AGUGCAAUAAUCUCAGGUCGCACUGAAUUGAAAUGCAGCGACGAGAGACUGUCGCACUCU
RNAcentral lists this microRNA precursor (60 nucleotides) under Pristionchus pacificus. RNAcentral's name for it is "microRNA ppc-mir-8334 precursor". The record is from miRBase by way of RNAcentral. Lineage: Eukaryota; Metazoa; Nematoda; Chromadorea; Rhabditida; Neodiplogasteridae.